GCCAGACUUGCUGCCUGGAAGUGGAAGCAGGGCUCUCUCAUCUGUGUUGAGAAAGGCACUCAUCUGUGUAUCUAGCGAGACGGGAGAAAGUGGUCAUUUUAGAACAAGCCACCACAAGCCAGGGCAAGUUGAGCAGUGAAGUGGCAGCCUGCUGUGUUGGGGUGAUGGCCUCACUUUUGUCAUAUUAAUGUGAGAUACAUAAGCAGAGUCUCACUGUGUCGCCCAGGCUGGAGUGCAACGGCGCGAUCUCAGCGGCUCACUGCAACCUCAGCCUCCUGGUUCAAGCAAUUCUCCUGCCUCAGCCUCCUGAGUAGCUGGGAUUGCAGAUGCGCACCAGUAUUAUCACAAUUUAAAAAAGGGUUUUGUAAAAUAUUAACUCUCAAUCUCCACUAAACCUAAAACAUCUCAUAUACACUCUAAUAUCAAAAAACAAAUGGUUUAACUGUAUUUAAACAGUGGGAAUAAACAUAGAGAGGUCAUUAUGUCAAUAUCAAGUUCACUCUAAUGUGUGAGUAAAUUUUAUGAUUAAGAAGUGUUGUCUAAUUGUUUUCUAAGGCAGUGGGACUCACCUAGCACAGCUGUGAAAAUUCCACAUCUUUUCACACUGAAGUUUAAAUUGAAAAAUAGAGGCCAUGUAAGUUUAUGAAGUAUGGUGAUAAAGUUAUUUCGUGACCGUUUUUUUUAAAUGUCUAUCAAUGGAAAUACUGUAACUGAUGUGGUGGUAAUAUUUAGCUACCAGAAAAAAACCAUGGCUAAGCCUUAUGAAUAUUAUCACUUCUCCCUGUAUAGGCCUGCACUGGAAAAGUCAUUCAUUCAACUACAGUAUUACACCUCUCAUGGUAACCAUUACUGGAGGCUGAUUCUUUACCUCUCCACCUCCUUUAAUCUGUAACAAGAGAGUGAUGGCUACAAUUCCACAGACUUUAAACACUGGUCAGCAUUUAAGUUUUUCUUCUAUCUUUCAGGAGGCACUAAGAACAUAUUUUGCACAAAAAACACUAAUAAGAUUGCAGAAUAAAAGUCUCAAUCAUGCAUAUAUUCUUUCCCCACUUCUUUUACUCUUCUGUUGAGUUAGUGCUUAAAACAAAAUACCGCACCUUUCUCCAUCAAUUUCCUCCAUGAAAUUCAAAGUAUUCAGGUGAGGAUAGGUUAUUUUCACAUCCAGCCUGUGUAUCUCGCUGCAUCAUGAGAAGCUCAGCUGCUGCUGUUGUUUUGUUUUUGUCUGAAGGCAGGAUGUGUUUGAUUCUCUUUUUAAAGUUACUCAAGAGAAAAUGUUGACUGCUGUAAUAAAAAUCUGGAUGAAAUUGUAGUACAAUGUGUUCUGAGACUCAUACUCUAGGAAAUGUAUGCAGAGUACACUGAGAUUAAUAAAUGAAGUGGAAAAAUCUUCUAUAUUAAAAUGUUUUUCUCUUGAAA
Molecule: long non-coding RNA, 1416 nt
Filed under: Homo sapiens (human)
Lineage: Eukaryota; Metazoa; Chordata; Mammalia; Primates; Hominidae
Description: HSALNT0307688
Source: RNAcentral